GUCGAGAGGCUUCGGCAAUGGGGGAAACCCUGACCGAGCGACGCCGCGUGAGGGAUGAAGCUCUUCGGGGUGUAAACCUCUUUUCUAGGGGAAGAAACUCAUGGGUUCAAAUAGGGCCCAUGCCUGACGGUACCCUAGGAAUAAGCUCCGGCUAACUCCGUGCCAGCAGCCGCGGUAAUACGGGGGGAGCAAACGUUGUUCGGAAUCACUGGGCGUAAAGGGCGCGUAGGCGGCUCGGCAAGUGGUGUGUGAAAUGCCCUGGCUCAACCAGGGAACUGCGCUCCAAACUGCCGAGCUUGAGGGCAGUAGAGGAAGCUGGAAUUCCUGGUGUAGCGGUGAAAUGCGUAGAUAUCAGGAGGAACACCGUUGGCGAAGGCGAGCUUCUGGGCUGUCCCUGACGCUGAGGCGCGAAAGCUGGGGGAGCGAACAGGAUUAGAUACCCGUGUAGUCC
Molecule: ribosomal RNA, 451 nt
Filed under: uncultured bacterium
Lineage: Bacteria
Description: bacterial SSU rRNA
Rfam family: Bacterial small subunit ribosomal RNA
Source: RNAcentral